RNAcentral lists this ribosomal RNA (2565 nucleotides) under Escherichia coli. RNAcentral's name for it is "partial 23S ribosomal RNA". It matches the Rfam family "Bacterial large subunit ribosomal RNA", at positions 209 to 2798 of the family's 2925-position model. Lineage: Bacteria; Pseudomonadati; Pseudomonadota; Gammaproteobacteria; Enterobacterales; Enterobacteriaceae. The record is from RNAcentral.
CCCCGAGGAAAAGAAAUCAACCGAGAUUCCCCCAGUAGCGGCGAGCGAACGGGGAGCAGCCCAGAGCCUGAAUCAGUGUGUGUGUUAGUGGAAGCGUCUGGAAAGGCGCGCGAUACAGGGUGACAGCCCCGUACACAAAAAUGCACAUACUGUGAGCUCGAUGAGUAGGGCGGGACACGUGGUAUCCUGUCUGAAUAUGGGGGGACCAUCCUCCAAGGCUAAAUACUCCUGACUGACCGAUAGUGAACCAGUACCGUGAGGGAAAGGCGAAAAGAACCCCGGCGAGGGGAGUGAAAAAGAACCUGAAACCGUGUACGUACAAGCAGUGGGAGCACGCUUAGGCGUGUGACUGCGUACCUUUUGUAUAAUGGGUCAGCGACUUAUAUUCUGUAGCAAGGUUAACCGAAUAGGGGAGCCGAAGGGAAACCGAGUCUUAACUGGGCGUUAAGUUGCAGGGUAUAGACCCGAAACCCGGUGAUCUAGCCAUGGGCAGGUUGAAGGUUGGGUAACACUAACUGGAGGACCGAACCGACUAAUGUUGAAAAAUUAGCGGAUGACUUGUGGCUGGGGGUGAAAGGCCAAUCAAACCGGGAGAUAGCUGGUUCUCCCCGAAAGCUAUUUAGGUAGCGCCUCGUGAAUUCAUCUCCGGGGGUAGAGCACUGUUUCGGCAAGGGGGUCAUCCCGACUUACCAACCCGAUGCAAACUGCGAAUACCGGAGAAUGUUAUCACGGGAGACACACGGCGGGUGCUAACGUCCGUCGUGAAGAGGGAAACAACCCAGACCGCCAGCUAAGGUCCCAAAGUCAUGGUUAAGUGGGAAACGAUGUGGGAAGGCCCAGACAGCCAGGAUGUUGGCUUAGAAGCAGCCAUCAUUUAAAGAAAGCGUAAUAGCUCACUGGUCGAGUCGGCCUGCGCGGAAGAUGUAACGGGGCUAAACCAUGCACCGAAGCUGCGGCAGCGACGCUUAUGCGUUGUUGGGUAGGGGAGCGUUCUGUAAGCCUGUGAAGGUGUGCUGUGAGGCAUGCUGGAGGUAUCAGAAGUGCGAAUGCUGACAUAAGUAACGAUAAAGCGGGUGAAAAGCCCGCUCGCCGGAAGACCAAGGGUUCCUGUCCAACGUUAAUCGGGGCAGGGUGAGUCGACCCCUAAGGCGAGGCCGAAAGGCGUAGUCGAUGGGAAACAGGUUAAUAUUCCUGUACUUGGUGUUACUGCGAAGGGGGGACGGAGAAGGCUAUGUUGGCCGGGCGACGGUUGUCCCGGUUUAAGCGUGUAGGCUGGUUUUCCAGGCAAAUCCGGAAAAUCAAGGCUGAGGCGUGAUGACGAGGCACUACGGUGCUGAAGCAACAAAUGCCCUGCUUCCAGGAAAAGCCUCUAAGCAUCAGGUAACAUCAAAUCGUACCCCAAACCGACACAGGUGGUCAGGUAGAGAAUACCAAGGCGCUUGAGAGAACUCGGGUGAAGGAACUAGGCAAAAUGGUGCCGUAACUUCGGGAGAAGGCACGCUGAUAUGUAGGUGAAGUCCCUCGCGGAUGGAGCUGAAAUCAGUCGAAGAUACCAGCUGGCUGCAACUGUUUAUUAAAAACACAGCACUGUGCAAACACGAAAGUGGACGUAUACGGUGUGACGCCUGCCCGGUGCCGGAAGGUUAAUUGAUGGGGUCAGCGCAAGCGAAGCUCUUGAUCGAAGCCCCGGUAAACGGCGGCCGUAACUAUAACGGUCCUAAGGUAGCGAAAUUCCUUGUCGGGUAAGUUCCGACCUGCACGAAUGGCGUAAUGAUGGCCAGGCUGUCUCCACCCGAGACUCAGUGAAAUUGAACUCGCUGUGAAGAUGCAGUGUACCCGCGGCAAGACGGAAAGACCCCGUGAACCUUUACUAUAGCUUGACACUGAACAUUGAGCCUUGAUGUGUAGGAUAGGUGGGAGGCUUAGAAGUGUGGACGCCAGUCUGCAUGGAGCCGACCUUGAAAUACCACCCUUUAAUGUUUGAUGUUCUAACGUUGACCCGUAAUCCGGGUUGCGGACAGUGUCUGGUGGGUAGUUUGACUGGGGCGGUCUCCUCCUAAAGAGUAACGGAGGAGCACGAAGGUUGGCUAAUCCUGGUCGGACAUCAGGAGGUUAGUGCAAUGGCAUAAGCCAGCUUGACUGCGAGCGUGACGGCGCGAGCAGGUGCGAAAGCAGGUCAUAGUGAUCCGGUGGUUCUGAAUGGAAGGGCCAUCGCUCAACGGAUAAAAGGUACUCCGGGGAUAACAGGCUGAUACCGCCCAAGAGUUCAUAUCGACGGCGGUGUUUGGCACCUCGAUGUCGGCUCAUCACAUCCUGGGGCUGAAGUAGGUCCCAAGGGUAUGGCUGUUCGCCAUUUAAAGUGGUACGCGAGCUGGGUUUAGAACGUCGUGAGACAGUUCGGUCCCUAUCUGCCGUGGGCGCUGGAGAACUGAGGGGGGCUGCUCCUAGUACGAGAGGACCGGAGUGGACGCAUCACUGGUGUUCGGGUUGUCAUGCCAAUGGCACUGCCCGGUAGCUAAAUGCGGAAGAGAUAAGUGCUGAAAGCAUCUAAGCACGAAACUUGCC